UUACAUGAUGAUUAUAUUUGUCGACCGGGCGGACAUAUUAGUAUCAGUGAUGGAGUAGUCCUAUAUUGAUCUUUCUUUUUGUGUACAAAUUUUUAAAAGGAGAGUGUUAGGACAUUAUUGCUCCAUUGUUGAGAAUUGAUGAUUGGUCACAAGAUAUCUGAUU
RNAcentral lists this small nucleolar RNA (163 nucleotides) under Tetrapisispora phaffii CBS 4417. RNAcentral's name for it is "Small nucleolar RNA snR70". It matches the Rfam family "Small nucleolar RNA snR70". Lineage: Eukaryota; Fungi; Ascomycota; Saccharomycetes; Saccharomycetales; Saccharomycetaceae. The record is from Rfam by way of RNAcentral.